AGUGAACGCUGGCGGUAGGCCUAACACAUGCAAGUCGAACGGCAGCACAGUAAGAGCUUGCUCUUACGGGUGGCGAGUGGCGGACGGGUGAGGAAUACAUCGGAAUCUACUUUUUCGAGGGGGAUCACGUAGGGAAACUUACGCUAAUACCGCAUACUACCUACGGGUGAAAGCAGGGGAUCUUCGAACCUUGCGCGAUUGAAUGAGCCGAUGUCGAAUUAGCUAGUUGGUGGGGGAAAGGCCCACCAAGGCGACGAGCCGUAGCUGGUCUGAGAGGAUGAUCAGCCACACUGCAGCUGAGACACGGACCCGACUCCGACGGGAGGCAGCAGUGGGGAAUAUUGGGGAAGGGGCGGAGGCCAAUUCUAGACAAACGGCGUGAGUGAAGAAGGCCUACGGGUUGUAAAGCCCUUUUGUUGGGAAAGAAAAGAAGCAGGUUAACACCGCGCUGUUCUGCCGGUACCCAAAGAAUAAGCACCGGCUAACUUCGG
RNAcentral lists this ribosomal RNA (491 nucleotides) under uncultured bacterium. RNAcentral's name for it is "partial 16S ribosomal RNA". It matches the Rfam family "Bacterial small subunit ribosomal RNA", at positions 29 to 506 of the family's 1533-position model. The record is from RNAcentral.